CAGAAUUCAUAUAAAAUCUUGUAAGCCUCAUUUCUUCUGAUACGAUCCUGAUUUUACAUAAAAGAAAAUUCAUCUCAACUGCUCGGAGAGGUCCCUAAGUUGGGCUAACCUCUGCUGGAGGUCAUCCAAACAAGUGCAAGCCCUGAAGCAGGAAGUUCUGACUUGAGGCUGAAAGAUAGUGGAGAGGUGCUCCAGCCCUUUGAUCAUCUUCGUUACUUCCUCUGGAUCUGCUCCAAGAGCUCUGCAUCCUUCAUGUACUAGGGCCCUCAGGCAUGGACAUAGUACUCCAGAUGGGGACUCACAAAGGCAGAGUAGAUGAGGACAAUCACCUCCCUCUCUCUGCUGGC
Molecule: long non-coding RNA, 347 nt
Filed under: Gallus gallus (chicken)
Lineage: Eukaryota; Metazoa; Chordata; Aves; Galliformes; Phasianidae
Description: lncRNA (ENSGALG00010008819.1)
Source: RNAcentral